GAUGAAGAACGCAGCGAAAUGCGAUACGUAAUGUGAAUUGCAGAAUUCAGUGAAUCAUCGAAUCUUUGAACGCACAUUGCGCCCGCCAGCAUUCUGGCGGGCAUGCCUGUUCGAGCGUCAUUUCAACCCCUCAGGCCCUGGUGCCUGGCGUCGGGGCGUUCCUCUCCCCCGCGGGAGGAAGCCCUCAGAAGCAGUGGCGGACCCGCCGCGGCUCCGAGCGCAGUAGUAACAUUCUCGCUUAGGAAGCUCGCGGGGGGGCACCCGGCCGUAAAACCCGAAGCCUCCGGGCUUCGACUUCUAAGGUUGACCUCGGAUCAGGUAGGAAUACCCGCUGAACUUAAGCAUAUCAAUAAGCGGAGGGA
Molecule: unclassified non-coding RNA, 362 nt
Filed under: soil metagenome
Description: partial contains 5.8S ribosomal RNA, internal transcribed spacer 2, and large subunit ribosomal RNA
Rfam family: 5.8S ribosomal RNA (bases 1-120)
Source: RNAcentral